Mus spicilegus (steppe mouse) is the source of this 973-nucleotide long non-coding RNA. The record is from Ensembl. Lineage: Eukaryota; Metazoa; Chordata; Mammalia; Rodentia; Muridae.
GUGGGUCUCAAAUUAUUCCAUUUCUAGGGAAACUUAUUUUUUUUAAGCCACCAUCAUAAUCACUCCUCCUAAAUCAAACCAUUGACUGUUCAAUCAAGUGAGUUUAGAUGCCACGUUGACAUAAAGCAUUCUGAAUGAACAUGGAAGCCCAGGACAGAGCAAGCUACAGGAAACCAAGAAGAAUAAUUGGUUCCAAAGUGUACUUGUCUUACAAAUGUUUUUCCUUCUCUCGUCAGUUGACAAUUUCUCCUUGACAUGACGUGAUUGAACUCAUGAAGAUUUUUCUCCAAGGAAACAACACACUUGGGAAGUAUGAACCCAGAGAGGUCACAUCUUUUGGAGUUAUCUGCCGCCAAGAAGAAUGGCUCCCAUUUAUUUUUCAAGAGACCUAGGACCAAGAAGGAAUGGAAGAAGCUUACUGAGAUCAUAUCUUCAUGGAGAGCUGUGGUUUAUCUGGUGAAGGACAUGCCGUGAUACUUCAUGCAGUGCCCUGAAGGGAUUGUCCAAAGAGAGGGCCUCCUUAGGCUGGGUGCUUGACUUGUACCUGAGACAUCUCAAGAGACUUGUCCACAGGUCAGAGACGUGGGUGAGCCCACUCAUACAGCUUCAAGAAGCUGGAAGGAUCUACCUGGGGAGUGAGACAGGCCUAGAAAAAGGAAUCUCCUUGAUAUCAAAAGGUUGUUGGCUCCAUGAGCCCCCAGAAAGCUAAGAGUCAUGGACACUCAAAUCCCUCUCUUAAGAGAGUGUGUGUUACUGUUGCACCAUAGCAUUGAGGGAGCGGUGGCAAGGAGGAAGUCUGUGCAUGUUUAAUAUCAUGACUAGUUUUUUAAAAGAAGUCCUGCUCUCCAAUUGGUUGACCCUGUGGAUAUAGACCUUGUAGCUAGGACAGCCUAACUGUUUACAUUUCGGAGGAAAUCUCAGUUUUUCUCGAAUGAAUUUUUGUACUCUGGAGAACAAAGCAGGUGCUUUAAAC